CACUCUUGGGGUGAUUUCAGUGGCUUCAGACACUUGGACCUGUUGAGGUGUAGCCCAUCUUCCAGUGCUGCUUGGAGGCUUUUCAGUCCACCAGUUUGUAGAAUAUCUACGUUGACUGGUAGGAGAUAGAUGGUCCUUGAAGAUUUUGUAUUUCGGCUGCAGUAUGGAGAAGAGCACUCAGCUUUUUCGAGUGCUCUUUGUCGAGAUAAUGACAGAAUGAUCCACUGUCACAGAAUGCAGAGCAAAGGCACUGGCAAAAGGAAUCAAAGGCACAGGUUUAUGUCUGCAUGCAACCACUCAGAGCAAGGGGUCAGGUAGGACAGUCGCUUUUU
Long non-coding RNA from Xyrauchen texanus (razorback sucker), 332 nucleotides. RefSeq lists it as uncharacterized. The transcript has 3 exons. NCBI's taxonomy places the organism in Eukaryota, Metazoa, Chordata, Actinopteri, Cypriniformes, Catostomidae. The record is from RefSeq and is a predicted model, not a curated record.